GUAUGUUUCAUCUGAUGGAAGAUGUUGCUUUAAUUUUCACCUUCACUUCCUAGAGACCAGGACCACGAGGCCCUCCUGGACCACGAGGCCCCCCAGGACCACCUGGCAAGGAUGGCAUAGAUGGAGAGGCUGGACCACCUGGCUUGCCUGGAGUAUCAGGGCCUAAAGGAGCACCAGGGAAGCCUGGAAAGACGGGGGAUGCAGGUUUACCUGGACUUCCUGGAGUUGAUGUAAGUAUUAAAGGUUCUUCUUCCGGUUCUCACCAGUUGUGAUGC
Molecule: long non-coding RNA, 275 nt
Filed under: Salvator merianae (Argentine black and white tegu)
Lineage: Eukaryota; Metazoa; Chordata; Lepidosauria; Squamata; Teiidae
Description: lncRNA (ENSSMRG00000012662.1)
Source: RNAcentral